This 714-nucleotide ribosomal RNA is filed under the name Bacillus amyloliquefaciens. RNAcentral's name for it is "bacterial SSU rRNA". It matches the Rfam family "Bacterial small subunit ribosomal RNA", at positions 1 to 697 of the family's 1533-position model. Lineage: Bacteria; Bacillati; Bacillota; Bacilli; Caryophanales; Bacillaceae. The record is from RNAcentral.
UUAUCGGAGAGUUUGAUCCUGGCUCAGGACGAACGCUGGCGGCGUGCCUAAUACAUGCAAGUCGAGCGGACAGAUGGGAGCUUGCUCCCUGAUGUUAGCGGCGGACGGGUGAGUAACACGUGGGUAACCUGCCUGUAAGACUGGGAUAACUCCGGGAAACCGGGGCUAAUACCGGAUGGUUGUCUGAACCGCAUGGUUCAGACAUAAAAGGUGGCUUCGGCUACCACUUACAGAUGGACCCGCGGCGCAUUAGCUAGUUGGUGAGGUAACGGCUCACCAAGGCGACGAUGCGUAGCCGACCUGAGAGGGUGAUCGGCCACACUGGGACUGAGACACGGCCCAGACUCCUACGGGAGGCAGCAGUAGGGAAUCUUCCGCAAUGGACGAAAGUCUGACGGAGCAACGCCGCGUGAGUGAUGAAGGUUUUCGGAUCGUAAAGCUCUGUUGUUAGGGAAGAACAAGUGCCGUUCAAAUAGGGCGGCACCUUGACGGUACCUAACCAGAAAGCCACGGCUAACUACGUGCCAGCAGCCGCGGUAAUACGUAGGUGGCAAGCGUUGUCCGGAAUUAUUGGGCGUAAAGGGCUCGCAGGCGGUUUCUUAAGUCUGAUGUGAAAGCCCCCGGCUCAACCGGGGAGGGUCAUUGGAAACUGGGGAACUUGAGUGCAGAAGAGGAGAGUGGAAUUCCACGUGUAGCGGUGAAAUGCGUAGAGAU